CCUACGGGGGGCAGCAGUGAGGAAUAUUGGUCAAUGGACGAGAGUCUGAACCAGCCAAGUAGCGUGCAGGAUGACUGCCCUAUGGGUUGUAAACUUCUUUUAUAUGGGAAUAAAAUGAUCCACGUGUGGGAUUUUGUAUGUACCAUAUGAAUAAGGAUCGGCUAAAUCCGUGCCAGCAGCCGCGGUAAUACGGAGGAUCCGAGCGUUAUCCGGAUUUAUUGGGUUUAAAGGGAGCGCAGGUGGCCUGGUAAGUGAGUUGUGAAAGGGUGCGGCUCAACCGUAAAAUUGCAGUGGAAACUGGCAGGCUUGAGUGCGUUAGAGGUAGGCGGAAUUCGUGGUGUAGCGGUGAAAUGCUUAGAUAUCACGAAGAACUCCGAUUGCGAAGGCAGCUCACUGGACUGCAACUGACGCUGAGGCUCGAAAGUGUGGGUAUCGAACAGGAUUAGAUACCCGAGUAGUC
This 460-nucleotide ribosomal RNA is filed under the name uncultured bacterium. Its description in RNAcentral is "partial 16S ribosomal RNA". It matches the Rfam family "Bacterial small subunit ribosomal RNA", at positions 338 to 795 of the family's 1533-position model. The record is from RNAcentral.